CGAACUGCCGUUGACAAAACGGAGGAAGGUGGGUUGACGUCAAAUCAUCAUGCCCCUUAUGUUCUGGGCUACACACGUGCUACAAUGGCCGGUACAGACGGAGGCGAAGCCGCGAGGCGGAGCAAAUCCGAAAAAGCCGGUCUCAGUUCGGAUUGCAGGCUGCAAUUCGCCUGCAUGAAGUCGGGAUCGCUAGUAAUCGCAGGUCCAGCAUACUGCGGUGAAUACGUUCCGGGCCUU
RNAcentral lists this ribosomal RNA (237 nucleotides) under uncultured Pelotomaculum sp. RNAcentral's name for it is "partial 16S ribosomal RNA". It matches the Rfam family "Bacterial small subunit ribosomal RNA", at positions 1145 to 1382 of the family's 1533-position model. Lineage: Bacteria; Bacillati; Bacillota; Clostridia; Eubacteriales; Desulfotomaculaceae. The record is from RNAcentral.